RNAcentral lists this long non-coding RNA (223 nucleotides) under Elaeis guineensis (African oil palm). RNAcentral's name for it is "long non-coding RNA (EGUI_LNC022216)". Lineage: Eukaryota; Viridiplantae; Streptophyta; Magnoliopsida; Arecales; Arecaceae. The record is from RNAcentral.
UGCCACAGGCACAAACUCACGCCGACACAUAAUGCCUCUCGCAUGAAAAUGAGAAGUGCUAGAUGCUGCAGACACAAGAUCGCCAUAAGAACAUAAAGCCACUCGUGAGGGAUAACUUAUCAGACCCUCAGAAGGUCGCUGAGAGUGUAUGCCAUAGGUACAAGCUCGCAGUUAGUAUAUAAUGCCUCUCGUGCGAAGAGGAGAAGUGCUAGAUGUCGCAGGC